AGAAGUCACAUUCUUAUCCUGAAACAGCCCUAUUUAAUGCUUCCCACAUGAAUAGUGUCUCUCUCACCCAACUUAUAAUUUGUCCAAGCAUAAACCUCGUCGGCCGUCUUGUCUUUUUCCACGGUUCAGCUUCACCCUCUCCAAAUUCUUCACCAUGAAGAUUUCUCUUUCACUACAGACUUCACUUAAAUUUCAAUUUCACCCCCUUGUAAACGGUGAGAAGUUGGGGAUCUAUUCAAGACCUAACUUGAAGGCCCACUCCCUUCCCAUUCGUGCAUGAGCCCUGAACUAGAUCCACCCCCUGGUCGUUCAAAUGUCAUGAUCAGUCCUUCUUUGGAUGAAAAGUUGCAAUUAAGUUAUUUUCAAUUAGGCUGUCCAUGGUGCCCUUCUGGGUUUUGUCUUUAAUGAGUUUAUGAGGUGAAUUUGGCAUCACUAAUGGUGGAAGUUCCCGUUUCUGUCGUAUUCAUACAACACAACUAAAGUUCAAAAUGACACUUUUGGACCCAUUAGGUCAUUAUAAUCCUUCUUUAUUUGCAUUCUAAUUAGAAAUACCUUAACUGUUGUUAAGUUUCAGAUUAAAGGUUUGUGAGUGUUGAUGUUGAAGAUCGGAAGAAGAUGCAGAGUGGUUGAGAACAUAGUUGUUUUUAAUGCGAUUAGUUCUUAAAUUAGGCAGUGUUAUAGUAUAAUUUUAAUAAGUGUUUACCUCUUCACCAUCCGAAUGUCAAGGUUAUAUGAUUAAUAGUUAUGAUGGAAUCCUACCUAACAUUAUAGAAAGUUUAGGCUUGUGUGUCCUCCAUUUGGUCUGAGUUGAAUGUUUUUCGACCAUGGAUGGAGGCAUUAUGAAAAAUAAUGGGAAAAUACAAUUACAUGUUGAAGAGAUCCCGAAAAUUGUUUGUAACUAUAAGAGUUAAAUGAUGUGGUUUGUUAUUGUAUGCAAUGUGUAUAACUGGACAUUGUAUAUUUAGAAAUAGACUCUUUUUGACAAAA
Molecule: long non-coding RNA, 987 nt
Organism: Mangifera indica (mango)
Lineage: Eukaryota; Viridiplantae; Streptophyta; Magnoliopsida; Sapindales; Anacardiaceae
Exons: 2
Source: RefSeq, a predicted model, not a curated record